RNAcentral lists this long non-coding RNA (302 nucleotides) under Salvia miltiorrhiza (redroot sage). RNAcentral describes it as "long non-coding RNA (SMIL_LNC002052)". Lineage: Eukaryota; Viridiplantae; Streptophyta; Magnoliopsida; Lamiales; Lamiaceae. The record is from RNAcentral.
AAAAAAUGAAAAAAUUAUUUUCACACUCCUACCUUAGGAUAAUAUUAUUCAACAUUGAAGAAAAAAUAAGUGAAAAAUGGGCUGUCCGAAAAAAUAUUUCAUCCUGCCUGAAAAAAAAAAAAAAACAUCAUCAUAAUAAACAUAUGAAAAUAGUGAAAAAUGGGUGAAAAGAUAUAUUUUCUCUCAUUUUCCAUCAAAAUAAACACACCCUUAAAUUAUAGCGAGCCUCUUUUUGUCACGAAUAAAAUCCUAACAUGCAAUUGGGUUUGUACAACAUCCUACGAUCCAACGUAUUGCAUUCU